This 2191-nucleotide long non-coding RNA is filed under the name Salmo salar (Atlantic salmon). Its description in RNAcentral is "lncRNA (ENSSSAG00000097097.1, ENSSSAG00000106698.1)". The record is from RNAcentral. Lineage: Eukaryota; Metazoa; Chordata; Actinopteri; Salmoniformes; Salmonidae.
CUUCAGUUCACAUGACCUGAUCUUCCACAACUGUUGACAGGGUGCUUUCAGGGUGCUGGGUUAUUGUUCAAAACAUCCAUGUAGUUGCAACAUCACUGGUAUUCAUAAGAACUAGAGCUGUGUUCGAAUACUCAUACUAACUGCACUAACCAUACUAUUUGUGAUGUAAGUGGAGUAUGUAGUAUGGUUAUUGGCCAUAGUAUGGAUAUAGUUAGUAUGCCAGAAGUUCCUGGAUGUCGUACUAAAUUAGCCAAAAUGGAAAUUUUUUCCAUGCUUUCAGGGCCCAUAAUGCAAUUCUUCAGAAAACGGGCGUGGCCUCCCAACGCUUUCAGAUUUUAAGAAAAUGUCGGAAAAUUUGCAGCCAAAGUCCGACAAGAAUGGAUACAAUUUCAUUGCUUUAACUAGCUAUGACAAAUGUUAAGCGAUGUAAUUCAUUUUCAAAUAAGUUACGUUACAAUUCUUUAGCAACGCUAUACUUACGAACCGCAUAGCAUAUCAUUACAGUAGUAUGUACCGUUAUGUUAACUAGCUACCUAACAUACAUUUAGUUGGCUAUUAAGACAUCAGGCUUAGCUAAGUGGCAUAGUCAUUGUUCGUUCUCAAUGGACAUAGUUCAUUUGCUCUGGCUAUCUACUCCGAUUUCAGAGCACUCUCAUCUGAGUGUGCCAAAGCGCAGAUUAAUUGAUGAAUAUACAAACGUAACACCCAUUGAAUAUAACCGGUGUCAGUACAUGUCUGCAAAAAAAGAGUAAUUAAAUUGUUGCCAGCACCACAGUUACAGUCACCAACACUCUGGAUAACAUGAAAACAGCCUAACCAGCUCUGCUAGGCCAAACCCGGACGACGCUGGACCCAAUCACAGUCAGAUAUGAUACAGCCUGGAUUCAAACCAGUGACAAUGGUGGAAGGAGGUGGGGUUUCGUGACUGCAGAAACAGACAUGAGGGGUGAUGAAUGGAUGAAGACUGGCUGAUACCAGAUUGGAAGAAAAGGAAAAAGGAAGAGGGAGAGAACAGCAGGAACAUGUACUAUACUAUGUAACUUACAUAUACUGUGUAACUUACAUAUACUGUGUAACUUACUAAGACAUUUUUAAACAAAUAGCUGUGAAUGGUUGUUUCUGGUGAAUUUAAGGGAAAAUACAACAACUUUUCUGAAAUGUUGUCAAUUUAGUCAAUCAGAACUCAAAUACCAAUAUUUUUCUGUCUUACUUUAAACUGUUGGUCUAACUAUAACAGUUCAGAAAGUCACCACCAAGGUCAAAACCCAUUAUUCUAUUUUUGUUCCCUUCACCAUGUUUGGGUAGUACAUGGUCUUGAAAUGACUAAUUUAUUUAUACAUAUUCGUAAUUUCUCUUUCUUUAUUGAGAUAUCAAGUUAUGAAUGAGAGGGGGGUGACAGAAAGGUAGAGGAAUACAGAUAUGAAGGAGUAGGCAGGGUUUGAAUCCAUGCCGCAAAGGGCCAUGUGUGGUCCAGAGUCAGCAGCAUUACCACUAGACCAGAUUAUGGCACAAAAUGAACGUCUAAUACUCAAUUAACUUAAAAGGAGUCAAGGGACUCAAUGUCAAGAAACUGCUGACAUGAUUACACAAUUUACUUGCAGUAUCAAUUCAUUAAAAACUAUAAAUACAUACAUACAUACAUGCAUGCAUACAUGCAUACAUACAUACAUACAUACAUGCAUACAUGCAUACAUGCAUACAUGCAUACAUACAUACAUACAUGGUUGUAAAGGAAAUCAUGUCCAGUCCUAAUAAGCUGAAGAUUAUAUCAUGAAUAAAAUUAAACAAGUAUUGUGUUAGUCUACCUGGAAACAGAGAGGCUGAUUACUUUGUUGUAGUGAAAGUGAACUGGGAUAGAAAUACAUUAUCAAUCCGAUUAAAGUGAGUGUCGUGAUGCCAACUUUGGACCAACUACAUUGAGUGUAAAGGCUUGGAUAGGCCUAUGGCUCAGAAUAUGGAAUAGAAUGUGAAUGGUGGGCUACUCUCUCAAGUAUUAAUUCAAAUAUGCAGUAGCCUAUAGGUUGUGGGCAGAAGCCGAAAAACGUGAAGUUGAUCGAUCCCCAUCGAGGGAGGAGCAGAUUUUUAUAUUUGACAGUAAAACAUUCUUAUAAUAACUAUAAAAUGUGUUGGCGCCUUCAAUUCUUGCACAUUGUCUCAUAAAAAUAACAGUUUAACACUGCUUCUAUCUAGG